AGAACGAGACCUGCGAAAGAGGGCGAGAUAUUUGAAGAAAUGUAAGGACGCGUUAUGGCAACGAUGGAAACGAGAAUACAUGAGAGCACUUCGCGAAAGGCAUAAUUUAACACAUGACGGGAAAGAGAGAGAGCUACGAAAGGGUGAUGUUAUGUUAAUCAAAGGUGAUGAAAAGAAUCGUAGACUGUGGAAAAUUGGGAUUGUUGAACAACUUAUACCCGGAAGAGACGGAGUGGUUCGUGGAGUUAGACUACGUGCAGGAAAAUCAUUCAUGGAAAGACCAAUACAAUUUCUUUACCCUUUGGAAUUGCAUUGUGAUAGAGAAAGUAAUCAAGAAACUGUUCCAUUGAAUCCUGUUGCAAAGGAGUUCAAACCGAAGCGUAGAGCGGCUGUCGAUGCAAGGAAGAACAUUGAACUAAUUUAUGAUCAGGAAGAGGAAGAACUGUGAUGGGUAGAGACGGUGAAUACGUGUAGACGUUCGUGUGUAUAUAAGACAGAUAAGUUAUAUUUAAAACUUACGUUCUAAAUAGGGGGAGUGUGUCGGGAAAAAGGUUGACAUUAAUAAUUAGUAGUUAAAUUUAGAGAUGAGGUGACUGCCAUAUAUGGAAAUUGAUUGACAGGCAUGAGAUAAAAGGAAUGUUGUUAAUUGUUAUUGCAUGGGGAAUAUAUGUAACUGGGAGCGAUUUGGGAAGGGAUUAUAAUACAAAACAAAAGAAAAACGCGUAAUUUUGCUCUUAUUGUG
Molecule: non-coding RNA, 742 nt
Organism: Paramuricea clavata
Lineage: Eukaryota; Metazoa; Cnidaria; Anthozoa; Malacalcyonacea; Plexauridae
Source: the annotation of a GenBank genome assembly